UACGUAGGUCCCGAGCGUUAUCCGGAUUUAUUGGUCGUAAAGCGAGCGCAGGCGGUUAGAUAAGUCUGAAGUGUAAGGCUGUGGCUUAACCAUAGUAUGCUUUGGAAACUGUUUAACUUGAGUGCAGAAGGGGAGGGUGGAAUUCCAUGUGUAGCGGCGAAAUGCGUAGAUAUAUGGAGGAACACCGGUGGCGAGAGCGGCUCUCUGGUCUGUAACUGACGCUGAGGCUCGAAAGCGUGGGGAGCAAACAGG
This 252-nucleotide ribosomal RNA is filed under the name uncultured bacterium. RNAcentral's name for it is "partial 16S ribosomal RNA". It matches the Rfam family "Bacterial small subunit ribosomal RNA", at positions 524 to 776 of the family's 1533-position model. The record is from RNAcentral.